GCCGGAGUGGUGGAACUGGCAUUCACGCACGACUCAAAAUCGUGUGGCCGCAAGGCCGUGUGGGUUCGAAUCCCACCUCCGGCACCA
This 87-nucleotide transfer RNA is filed under the name Clostridiales bacterium. RNAcentral's name for it is "tRNA-Leu". It matches the Rfam family "tRNA". Rfam says of the family: Transfer RNA (tRNA) molecules are approximately 80 nucleotides in length. Their secondary structure includes four short double-helical elements and three loops (D, anti-codon, and T loops). The record is from RNAcentral. Lineage: Bacteria; Bacillati; Bacillota; Clostridia; Eubacteriales.